AUGAUUGGAUCAUGUUUACUGCAAGACGGUUAUUCAUUUAAGUCAAAGAAUAAUUGUUGUUCUAUUUACAUGAAUAAAACCUUCUAUGGUCAUACACUCAAUAUAAAUGGUUUAUUGAAUCUCGAUCAUAGUGAUACACAUAUUCAUAAUAUUGAAGCCAAAAGAUGCAAAGUUAAUAAUGAUAGUGCAACUUAUAUGUGGCAUUGCCAUUUAGGUCAUAUUGGUGUAAAGCGCAUGAAGAAACUCCAUGCUGAUGGACUUUUGGAAUUACUUGAUUAUGAAUCACUUGAUACUUGCGAACCAUGCCUCAUGGGAAAGAUGACUAAGACUCCGUUAUUCAGAACAAUGAAGCAAGCAAUAGACUUGUUGGAAAUAAUACAUACUGAUGUGUGCGGUCCAAUGAGUGUUGAGGAUCGCGACGGGUAUCGUUAUUUUCUGACCUUCACAGAUGAUUUGAGCAUAUAUGGGUAUAUCUACUUAAUGAAACAUAAGUCUAAAACAUUUGAAAAGUUCAAAGAAUUUCAGAGUGAAGUGGAAAAUCAUCGUAACAAGAAAAUAAAGUUUCUACGAUCUGAUCGCGGAGGCGAAUAUUUGAGUUACAAGUUUGGUCUUCAUUUGAAACAAUGUGGAAUAGUUUCACAACUCACGCCACCUGGAACACCACAGCAUAAUGGUGUGUCCGAACGUUGUAAUCAUACUUUAUUGGAUAUGGUGCAAUCUAUGAUGUCUCUUACCGAUUUACCACUAUCGUUUUGGGGUUAUGCAUUAGAGACAACUGCAUUCAAGUUAAAUAGGGCACCAUCUAAAUCCGUUGAGAUGACAUCAUAUGAACUAUGGUUUGGCAAGAAACCCAAGCUGUCAUUUCUUAAAGUCUGGGUUUGCGAUGUUUAUGUGAAAAAGUUUCAAACUCAUAAGCUCGAACCCAAAUCGGAGUAG
Molecule: ribosomal RNA, 936 nt
Filed under: Triticum aestivum (bread wheat)
Lineage: Eukaryota; Viridiplantae; Streptophyta; Magnoliopsida; Poales; Poaceae
Description: partial small subunit ribosomal RNA
Source: RNAcentral